AUAAAGGAAGCUCAACAUUUUCCUGGUAUGCAAUAAUAAUUAGGAAAAAGAUUUCCAAACAGAGGCUAAAGAAUGAAAGAAGGUGAAAAAAAACCAGAAUGCUUAGAAUGCAAGAACUUGAAAACUUGUAAGCCAAAAGAACUUCAAAUGGUUAGAACCACCGGCGAACUCGGAGGGAGCCCGACCAGGCAUAUUAUCGUGACUCAUCGAAGGACCGCCGCCAGCGCCGCCCUGAUACACUUUUCAAUGAUGGGAUUAC
Molecule: long non-coding RNA, 259 nt
Organism: Cucurbita moschata (crookneck pumpkin)
Lineage: Eukaryota; Viridiplantae; Streptophyta; Magnoliopsida; Cucurbitales; Cucurbitaceae
Exons: 3
Source: RefSeq, a predicted model, not a curated record